This 495-nucleotide ribosomal RNA is filed under the name uncultured bacterium. Its description in RNAcentral is "partial 16S ribosomal RNA". It matches the Rfam family "Bacterial small subunit ribosomal RNA", at positions 28 to 507 of the family's 1533-position model. The record is from RNAcentral.
GACGAACGCUGGCGGCGUGCCUAAUACAUGCAAGUAGAACGCUGAAGGAGGAGCUUGCUUCUCUGGAUGAGUUGCGAACGGGUGAGUAACGCGUAGGUAACCUGCCUGGUAGCGGGGGAUAACUAUUGGAAACGAUAGCUAAUACCGCAUAACAGUAGAUAUCGCAUGAUAUCUACUUGAAAGGUGCAAUUGCAUCACUACCAGAUGGACCUGCGUUGUAUUAGCUAGUUGGUGAGGUAACGGCUCACCAAGGCGACGAUACAUAGCCGACCUGAGAGGGUGAUCGGCCACACUGGGACUGAGACAAGGCCCAGACUCCUACGGGAGGCAGCAGUAGGGAAUCUUCGGCAAUGGACGGAAGUCUGACCGAGCAACGCCGCGUGAGUGAAGAAGGUUUUCGGAUCGUAAAGCUCUGUUGUAAGAGAAGAACGAGUGUGAGAGUGGAAAGUUCACACUGUGACGGUAUCUUACCAGAAAGGGACGGCUAACUACGUG